Molecule: long non-coding RNA, 1076 nt
Filed under: Homo sapiens (human)
Lineage: Eukaryota; Metazoa; Chordata; Mammalia; Primates; Hominidae
Description: HSALNT0293395
Source: RNAcentral
GAAAACAGUGAGUCUAACCUAGUCAUUCUAGAAUUGGGAGGUAAUAGAAAAGAGAGAAAUGGGAAAGUUGCUCAAAUGCAAGUCCAGUGAAUCAGAGAGAAAAGGCUCAAAGCAGCAGAACAAAGCUUCAAUAAAGAGAUAUUGUGACUUGGAGAGAUGGCCUUUUGUCCUUUGUUCUAUUACCAGUCAGAGGAUGGGGAGCACACCCGAGCCUGAGACAACAGCUCUGCUAAGUGCCCUUGAGAGGGCACGGUGGGGUCAGCACCAAAGUCAGACCACUAAAGAGAAAAAGAGAGAAAGACAGGAUUGCAGAGGAGAAAUGAGAAUGGCAGAAAAAAUAAUUUUUUAAGCCAAAAGGAAUCAGAGAAGAGCAGAAGUGCCUCUAGGAUAAAGCGUAGCAGGCAGUUAGGGAAAAAGGGCUGUUAACUACCUUGAAGCUCUGACUACAUUAGAAAGCCUCGCAAGACAGUCGUUGCUUGCACGGGCAGGUAGAGAACUUUUCCUGUCCAUUGUUCUUCUGAAUUAUAAAUCACUGACCUCUUUAUGAUUUCUAAAGGGAAAAUGACUUCAAGCUUCUUAGAGUUCCCCUAAGGCAUUCUCUAUAUUCAAUAUAAUAUGGGAAGCCCUGGGUUUGUCUUUGUAUGUUUCAUCUGCAGUGACCUGAAAUCUUCAUAACCCUCUUCCUUUCUCCACUUAUCAACUAAGGGGUGGUUGGCAAUAAGGAUGGGUGGGAGAGAAAAAAAAACAGAAUUUGAGGAGGAGAGCAUUUAAACCAUCAGACUGUGUGUUCUGUGACAUCAAAGACUGGCAACAUUCUAAAGGAAAAGCAGCUGUGAAGUCAUAAUUAUGUUCACUUCCCACUGGCAACUGGCAAGCCCUUUAUUUUUGUGCAUUCGGAACUCACCAAGAAUAAAUAAAGUCCAUUCCCUCCUUGAGGGGCUAUUCUGCCAUUCCAUCUAGGAUUUAAAAGUUUGCCAAUUCCUAAAACAUCUAUUGUUAUCAAUAGUCUUGUGUCUUUCACAAAGCGGACUUUACAAAAUAAGUUUCCAAGAAAAAAGCAUUAAAGUGCCAUAGAA